Molecule: ribosomal RNA, 390 nt
Filed under: uncultured bacterium
Lineage: Bacteria
Description: bacterial SSU rRNA
Rfam family: Bacterial small subunit ribosomal RNA
Source: RNAcentral
GACGAACGCUGGCGGCGUGCUUAACACAUGCAAGUCGAGCGGUAAGGCCCUUCGGGUACACGAGCGGCGAACGGGUGAGUAACACGUGGGUGACCUGCCUCUAGCUCUGGGAUAAGCCUGGGAAACUGGGUCUAAUACCGGAUAUGACUCCACGGCGCAUGUUGUGGGGUGGAAAGCCUUGUGUGGCUAGAGAUGGGCCCGCGGCCUAUCAGCUUGUUGGUGGGGUGAUGGCCACCAAGGCGACGACGGGUAGCCGGCCUGAGAGGGCGACCGGCCACACUGGGACUGAGACACGGCCCAGACUCCUACGGGAGGCAGCAGUGGGAAUCUUGCGCAAUGGGCGAAAGCCUGACGCAGCGACGCCGCGUGAGGGAUGACGGCCUGGUGUAA